GACGUCAAGUUCAAGGCCGGCCACAGCCUCUGCUUUGCCGGAUAUAUAUCUACCUCCUCUCCCGCCUCCUCUAGACUCGUUCGGCUCUAACGCGCGCGCGCUACCCCUUUUUCGAUGGGGGAAGAUGAGGCCGCCGCCCUUCCGCCGCGUUUCCGGGGAGGAACCGGGGCGAGAGACGGACGUUCGCGGCCGCCUGGUGACUCCGUUCGCCGACCCGAAGGGAGGGGUGGCUACAUCAAGUGGAGCAGUGGUCGGCGGACGACCGGCUGCUGCACCACCUGAUGUAGCAGAAGGCCCGGCAGACGAGGCCGACCGCGUCGACGUGCUCGCUGCGCGCGCUGGGGUGGGACACGUUUGGCCUGGAGACCGGCGCGCCGACCCAGCGGGAGACGCUGCCGCUGCCCCAUGCGGGCCUGCUGCGGCCGCUCUAGUCGAAGAAGGUGUGCGCCUGCCGGUCCGCGGAGGCGCAGGCGGACGGCCUCGAGGCCGCGGUGUCCUAGCAGCCGAAGUGGGUUCCUGACUAGUAAGAAGACUUGUUUGCGUGGCGGCGGCAGGCCCACGACGUAGGGAAGUGCGCCCAGCACCAGCUGGAGGGCAGGGAGCAGGGACACAAGGUGCUGCGGCAGUCCUUGGCGUUGAGAGACGAACUGUACUUACGGCGCCAGACGUCGCGCAGCAGGCGCCGCUGGAGGUAACGGCACCACCGGACCAAGGGGACCUGCGCGCACCACUAGCCGCGGCUCCGACCGGCGGGUUGAACCCUCCAGGAGGUGGCUCCCGAGAAGGAAUCCUCGUAGGACGGGAAGGUUCCUUCCGAAAUGCGGUGGCAGCGGUACCCACCGAGUUCUCUCUAGUACGUCGACAUGGGCUCUAGUGGUGUAGGACACGAACGAGUACAAGGUUUACUAAAACCAUUAGGCUCGGAUACGUUGAUGAAGGAGCAUCUCAGGCCACCCGCUCACGACGAACGGCAGGUGGUAAAUUGACGUGUUGUAACACCGCACCUCGGGAAGGUCGUUUUACGGAUAUUCGAGAAACGCAACCUGUAGCUGGCGCCACUCGACUAGGGUCACUUGACGGAGCCACCGGUGCGCGACAAGGAGUUGUCCCUGGAGGGAAGACACUCGUCGCUGAGGUAAAUGAAGAGAAACGCGGCACUGGGACAACACCACGUGAGGUAUUCCUGUCCAAAGAGACUCGCCUAUCCUAGGCUGGGAGGCACGCGGGAAAGUGGUAACGGCUGGUAGAAGAUUGGAUGACGGUAGGAGUACUCACCUGUUUUCCUGAGUACAAAGUACUCAUGGUGAGAUAUGGACUUAGAAAGCUCCUUAACUGGUUCUUGUAGUUCCGUUUUUUAAGACUUGAUGCCUAAGGAGCGUAACGCCAAGCAACUAACCUUCCUUCUUUGUCCCGGUGUCGUGAAGUGUGACCGGUCACUUAUUACGGUUAUCUGUCAACUGCGUAUUAAGGGAACGACCGAGUCAACCCUAGAAACACACCGAUCCGGUUAAGUAACCACCGAGGGUUGCGUUGCG
RNAcentral lists this ribosomal RNA (1535 nucleotides) under Triticum aestivum (bread wheat). RNAcentral's name for it is "partial small subunit ribosomal RNA". Lineage: Eukaryota; Viridiplantae; Streptophyta; Magnoliopsida; Poales; Poaceae. The record is from RNAcentral.